GAUGAACGCUGGCGGCGUGCCUAAUACAUGCAAGUCGAGCGAACAGACGAGGAGCUUGCUCCUCUGACGUUAGCGGCGGACGGGUGAGUAACACGUGGAUAACCUACCUAUAAGACUGGGAUAACUUCGGGAAACCGGAGCUAAUACCGGAUAAUAUAUUGAACCGCAUGGUUCAAUAGUGAAAGACGGUUUUGCUGUCACUUAUAGAUGGAUCCGCGCCGCAUUAGCUAGUUGGUAAGGUAACGGCUUACCAAGGCAACGAUGCGUAGCCGACCUGAGAGGGUGAUCGGCCACACUGGAACUGAGGCACGGUCCAGACUCCUACGGGAGGCAGCAGUAGGGAAUCUUCCGCAAUGGGCGAAAGCUUGACGGAGCAACGCCGCGUGAGUGAUGAAGGUCUUCGGAUCGUAAAACUCUGUUAUUAGGGAAGAACAAAUGUGUAAGUAACUAUGCACGUCUUGACGGUACCUAAUCAGAAAGCCACGGCUAACUACGUG
RNAcentral lists this ribosomal RNA (497 nucleotides) under uncultured bacterium. RNAcentral's name for it is "partial 16S ribosomal RNA". It matches the Rfam family "Bacterial small subunit ribosomal RNA", at positions 28 to 507 of the family's 1533-position model. The record is from RNAcentral.